RNAcentral lists this transfer-messenger RNA (361 nucleotides) under Pseudomonadota bacterium. Its description in RNAcentral is "Proteobacteria bacterium (groundwater metagenome) transfer-messenger RNA". It matches the Rfam family "transfer-messenger RNA". From Rfam's summary of the family: Bacterial tmRNA, also known as 10Sa RNA or SsrA, is named for its dual tRNA and mRNA-like properties. Its role is to liberate the mRNA from a stalled ribosome. To accomplish this part of the tmRNA is used as a reading frame that ends in a translation stop signal. RNAcentral also lists the same sequence under 2 other names. Lineage: Bacteria; Pseudomonadati; Pseudomonadota. The record is from RNAcentral.
GGGGGCGAAACGGAUUCGACGGGGAUAUGUAAGCUCUACGUUGCAUGCCGAGCUUCUGUCUGCUCGUAAAACUGAUAGAACUUUAAUUAUAAUCGCCGACGAUUAUAACUACGCAGUAGCAGCUUAGUCUGCUCUGCCGUUCCCCCGGUCUCUGCCCGCAAGACUGGAUCGGAGCGCCGACUCUGUGGGCUGGUCCUCUGGCAGCACCUGUUUGCUAGAAGAUGAGAACCAAGCAGGUUAGCAAUAGAAUAUCUAAGCUCCGGCGGAGCUUCUGGCGCGAAAAUUAAAGCCCGGAACUAAGCAUGUAGAUACGGGAGGGGAGUAUUUUCGGACGCGGGUUCGACUCCCGCCGCCUCCACCA